UGGGAGAUAACCAAGAACUGACAACCACCUACAGAAGAGGUGGCGAUAAUGGCUCUCCAAGAGGAGGUUGUGAGUCUGAAGGCUUUUAUUCAACAAGUGUUAGGCUGUCUGUGUGGACUGCUUCCCAUUUUCGCCUCACCCUGAGAGGACUAAGAUGAUAAUUGAGGCCACCCUGAAGCAGUUCCCAGGCCAGACACUCACUCCAGAUUGCUGGGCUAGGCAAUAAAUGCCAAAGUGAACGAACUGAGGUUCCAUAACAAAA
This is a long non-coding RNA of Alosa alosa (allis shad), 262 nucleotides long. RefSeq lists it as uncharacterized. The transcript has 3 exons. Lineage: Eukaryota; Metazoa; Chordata; Actinopteri; Clupeiformes; Clupeidae. The record is from RefSeq and is a predicted model, not a curated record.